GUUCAACCCCUUCCCUUGCUA
Molecule: transfer RNA, 21 nt
Filed under: Hylia prasina (green hylia)
Lineage: Eukaryota; Metazoa; Chordata; Aves; Passeriformes; Sylviidae
Description: partial tRNA-Met
Source: RNAcentral